Molecule: ribosomal RNA, 393 nt
Filed under: uncultured bacterium
Lineage: Bacteria
Description: partial 16S ribosomal RNA
Rfam family: Bacterial small subunit ribosomal RNA
Source: RNAcentral
AUACGGAGGAUGCGAGCGUUAUCCGGAUUUAUUGGGUUUAAAGGGAGCGUAGGCGGACGCUUAAGUCAGUUGUGAAAGUUUGCGGCUCAACCGUAAAAUUGCAGUUGAUACUGGGUGUCUUGAGUACAGUAGAGGCAGGCGGAAUUCGUGGUGUAGCGGUGAAAUGCUUAGAUAUCACGAAGAACUCCGAUUGCGUAGGCAGCUGACCAGACCGCAAAUGACGCUCAUGCACGAAAGUGCGGGGAUCGAACAGGAUUAGAUACCCUGGUAGUCCGCACAGUAAACGAUGAAUACUUGUUUUCGGCGAUAUAAUGUCGGAGGCAAAGCGAAAGCGAUAAGUAUUCCACCUGGGGAGUACGCCGGCAACGGUGAAACUCAAAGGAAUUGACGGGG